AUGUUCUUUGACAAUGUUGUUGAGGUUUUGCGGGAUUCUUCCAAGCGUUCCUUUUCCUGUUGCCUCCAGCGUGAAAUGCCAUCUUGGCUGGAAAGAAGUCUGAACAUCCACCUCAGUCAGAUUUACAGAAAACUGGACAACUUCCUUAAAUCACUUUUCUUCCAGCCUGAGGAAUCCAAAGCAUGUGGAGACUUUUUUCCCCCUGAGGAAGUAGAAAUGGCUGUGGCAGCUUAUUUUGAUGUCUUUUAGCAGAACAUUUUCACUUAUCAGUCAG
Molecule: long non-coding RNA, 274 nt
Organism: Hirundo rustica (Barn swallow)
Lineage: Eukaryota; Metazoa; Chordata; Aves; Passeriformes; Hirundinidae
Exons: 2
Source: RefSeq, a predicted model, not a curated record